This 1447-nucleotide ribosomal RNA is filed under the name uncultured Bacteroides sp. Its description in RNAcentral is "16S ribosomal RNA". It matches the Rfam family "Bacterial small subunit ribosomal RNA". The record is from RNAcentral. Lineage: Bacteria; Pseudomonadati; Bacteroidota; Bacteroidia; Bacteroidales; Bacteroidaceae.
GAUGAACGCUUAGCUACAGGCUUAACACAUGCAAGUCGAGGGGCAGCAUGGUCUUAGCUUGCUAAGGCCGAUGGGACCGGCGCACGGGUGAGUAACACGUAUCCAACCUGCCGUCUACUCUUGGACAGCCUUCUGAAAGGAAGAUUAAUACAAGAUGGCAUCAUGAGUCCGCAUGUUCACAUGAUUAAAGGUAUUCCGGUAGACGAUGGGGAUGCGUUCCAUUAGAUAGUAGGCGGGGUAACGGCCCACCUAGUCUUCGAUGGAUAGGGGUUCUGAGAGGAAGGUCCCCCACAUUGGAACUGAGACACGGUCCAAACUCCUACGGGAGGCAGCAGUGAGGAAUAUUGGUCAAUGGGCGAGACUGUAACCAGCCAAGUAGCGUGAAGGAUGACUGCCCUAUGGGUUGUAAACUUCUUUUAUAAAGGAAUAAAGUCGGGUAUGGAUACCCGUUUGCAUGUACUUUAUGAAUAAGGAUCGGCUAACUCCGUGCCAGCAGCCGCGGUAAUACGGAGGAUCCGAGCGUUAUCCGGAUUUAUUGGGUUUAAAGGGAGCGUAGAUGGAUGUUUAAGUCAGUUGUGAAAGUUUGCGGCUWAACCGUAAAAUUGCAGUUGAUACUGGAUAUCUUGGGUGCAGUUGAGGCAGGCGGAAUUCGUGGUGUAGCGGUGAAAUGCUUAGAUAUCACGAAGAACUCCGAUUGCGAAGCAGCCUGCUAAGCUGCAACUGACAUUGAGGCUCGAAAGUGUGGGUAUCAAACAGGAUUAGAUACCCUGGUAGUCCACACGGUAAACGAUGAAUACUCGCUGUUUGCGAUAUACAGCAAGCGGCCAAGCGAAAGCGUUAAGUAUUCCACCUGGGGAGUACGCCGGCAACGGUGAAACUCAAAGGAAUUGACGGGGGCCCGCACAAGCGGAGGAACAUGUGGUUUAAUUCGAUGAUACGCGAGGAACCUUACCCGGGCUUAAAUUGCAGAUGAAUUACGGUGAAAGCCGUAAGCCGCAAGGCAUCUGUGAAGGUGCUGCAUGGUUGUCGUCAGCUCGUGCCGUGAGGUGUCGGCUUAAGUGCCAUAACGAGCGCAACCCUUGUUGUCAGUUACUAACAGGUUCCGCUGAGGACUCUGACAAGACUGCCAUCGUAAGAUGUGAGGAAGGUGGGGAUGACGUCAAAUCAGCACGGCCCUUACGUCCGGGGCUACACACGUGUUACAAUGGGGGGUACAGAGGGCCGCUACCACGCGAGUGGAUGCCAAUCCCCAAAACCUCUCUCAGUUCGGACUGGAGUCUGCAACCCGACUCCACGAAGCUGGAUUCGCUAGUAAUCGCGCAUCAGCCACGGCGCGGUGAAUACGUUCCCGGGCCUUGUACACACCGCCCGUCAAGCCAUGGGAGCCGGGGGUACCUGAAGUGCGUAACCGCGAGGAGCGCCCUAGGGUAAAACUGGUGACUGGGGC